RNAcentral lists this long non-coding RNA (1411 nucleotides) under Sorghum bicolor (sorghum). RNAcentral's name for it is "long non-coding RNA (SBIC_LNC010606)". Lineage: Eukaryota; Viridiplantae; Streptophyta; Magnoliopsida; Poales; Poaceae. The record is from RNAcentral.
CUUCUGUAUUUGAAUAAAAUGUGCCUUCAAUUCUUUGAUUUUGGCGGCUCAAACCCUAGUGUCCUGCAUACACAUGUGUUCACCGAAACUGUGGAAUUUGGUUAGCAUAAAAAGCCCUAUUUCUAAUGUUUGGUGAUAUUUUAUAGAGUUUGUAUGCAUGUUGGCUGUAUGAAAAUUGUAUUUUAAGAAACGCCAACAAACUCCCCCACACUUAGCCCUUUGCUCGUCCUCGAGUAAAGCUUAUGUUUUUGGUCUAAGAUGGUUCCACUUCUCCUGAUAAUGAACCUGCAUACAAACUAUUCCAAGCCUCACCUGAACUUAUGAGCAUUCAGAGUGUCUACCAAAACAUCUUGAGUAAUUGAAAAAUGGAACAGUUAGGAUUCAAAUCUUCUUACUCAACUUUGCUCAAAACUUGGGUUUUUACCUUUUUGAAUAAAAAUAGUCUUGCUCUUCGGAUGAUACUCUCAAAUCACUUGAGAAUGUUUCUGGUUCCUUACCAAGGUAAAAGUACCUCUUGAUUUGUCCUACCUCUAUAAGCUGUAUUUGGAGUGUUGGGUAUGGACCAAGGAGAAUGCAUACUUACCUUGUAUGUAUUGUUGAGUCAAAUCUCGGAUCCAAGAAGAGAAGUGUCAUACCCUUAGAUCAUGAUGUGCAAGUGUGUGGUAUAUGGUAUAAACAACUCCGUUGGUUGAUAUGAUCUCAUCAAGUAUUUCUAGACAUGGCUAUCAUAACUCUUUUAUUUUCUUGUGAGCCUUUAUGUGCUCAUCUUUUUUUUUAUACUUAGGACCUUCAUGUGUCCUAUAUUUUUUUCAGAUGGGUAUUUUUAUACCCCUAAUUCUACGGCAGGCACUUGCCCUUUUUUUUCUUCUCUUUUAUAUAUAUAUAUAUUUUUUGCAUAGCCCAUGUCUUUAUCUAAGAUGCACUAGAGAGAUCAUUCUUUAAAACAUGGAGUGUUUGUAUGGUGGACAUGUAAGGUAUGUUUUUGCGCACUCCCAGUGUAGAAGCGGCAUAUAUAUGUAUCUGGAGUGUACAUGAUCUUGAUCUUGAGAGCAUGAUAAAUCUCUUAACAAGGGUCAACAAGACUUGACACAACUCAAAAUAAAUAAGCAGCUAUUUGUAGAAUUUUUAUCAAGAGUAAUAUAUUUGGCCUUGGUAGGUAAUUAUCUAUCAUUGAAGAGCAGACUUUUUGCAAUUUUAAUUUUAUCAAAUAAAUCCCGAAGUUCAUUGCAUAAGUGAGCAAGUUUCAAAUCAUCCUACUAUAUCGCAAAUCUCAAUUACUUAGAAGCAAUGGGGUCCUUAUAAAAAGUUGCACAUAAAUGGUAGGCUUUUGGCGAGGAAUAAAGAGUAUGCAUGUUUAAUUUCAAAGGCAGAAAGAAAAUGGAGUAUUCAUUUAUUUUUAUCUUUUUAUUUU